RNAcentral lists this ribosomal RNA (465 nucleotides) under Vreelandella stevensii. RNAcentral's name for it is "partial 16S ribosomal RNA". It matches the Rfam family "Bacterial small subunit ribosomal RNA", at positions 338 to 795 of the family's 1533-position model. The record is from RNAcentral. Lineage: Bacteria; Pseudomonadati; Pseudomonadota; Gammaproteobacteria; Oceanospirillales; Halomonadaceae.
CCUAUGGGUGGCUGCAGUGGGGAAUAUUGGACAAUGGGGGGAACCCUGAUCCAGCCAUGCCGCGUGUGUGAAGAAGGCCCUCGGGUUGUAAAGCACUUUCAGUGAGGAAGAACGCCUGGUGGUUAAUACCCAUCAGGAAAGACAUCACUCACAGAAGAAGCACCGGCUAACUCCGUGCCAGCAGCCGCGGUAAUACGGAGGGUGCGAGCGUUAAUCGGAAUUACUGGGCGUAAAGCGCGCGUAGGUGGCUUGAUAAGCCGGUUGUGAAAGCCCCGGGCUCAACCUGGGAACGGCAUCCGGAACUGUCAAGCUAGAGUGCAGGAGAGGAAGGUAGAAUUCCCGGUGUAGCGGUGAAAUGCGUAGAGAUCGGGAGGAAUACCAGUGGCGAAGGCGGCCUUCUGGACUGACACUGACACUGAGGUGCGAAAGCGUGGGUAGCAAACAGGAUUAGAUACCCCGGUAGUC